AUAUCAAUAAGCGGAGGAAAAGAAACCAACAGGGAUUGCCUCAGUAACGGCGAGUGAAGCGGCAACAGCUCAAAUUUGAAAUCUGGCCCCUCCCGGGGUCCGAGUUGUAAUUUGUAGAGGAUGCUUCGGGCAAGGCCGCGGUCUAAUUCACUUGGAACAGCGGGUCACAGAGGGUGAGAAUCCCGUCCCGGACCGUGCGUCGCGCCCGUGUGAAGCUCCUUCGACGAGUCGAGUUGUUUGGGAAUGCAGCUCUAAAUGGGUGGUAAAUUUCAUCUAAAGCUAAAUAUUGGCCAGAGACCGAUAGCGCACAAGUAGAGUGAUCGAAAGAUGAAAAGCACUUUGAAAAGAGAGUUAAACAGUAUGUGAAAUUGUUGAAAGGGAAGCGCUUGCAACCAGACUUGCGCGUGACGGUUCCCCCGGCCUCCUGGCCGGGCUACUCCGUCAUGUCCAGGCCAACAUCGGUUCGGGUGGUCGGUCAAAGACCCCGGGAAUGUAUCUACCUCCGGGUCGACUUAUAGCCCGGGGUGUAAUGCGGCCCACCCGGACCGAGGAACGCGCUCCGGCUCGGAUGUUGGCGUAAUGGUUGUAAGCGGCCCGUCUUGAAACACGGACCAAGGAGUCUAACAUCUGUGCGAGUGUUUGGGUGUCAAACCCCUACGCGUAAUGAAAGUGAACGGAGGUAAGAACCCGCUUUUUCGAAAGUGGGCGCAUUAUCGACCGAUCCUGAUGUCUUCGGAUGGAUUUGAGUAAGAGCAUAGCUGUUGGGACCCGAAAGAUGGUGAACUAUGCGUGAAUAGGGUGAAGCCAGAGGAAACUCUGGUGGAGGCUCGCAGCGGUUCUGACGUGCAAAUCGAUCGUCAAAUUUGCGCAUAGGGGCGAAAGACCAAUCGAACCGUCUGGUAGCUGGUUCCUGUCGAAGUUUCCCUCAGGAUAGCAGUAACGUUUUCAGUUUUAUGAGGUAAAGCGAAUGAUUAGAGGCCUUGGGGUUGAAACAACCUUAACCUAUUCUCAAACUUUAAAUAUGUAAGAAGUCCCUGUUGCUUCAUUGAACGGGGACAUUUGAAUGUAUCGUUACUAGUGGGCCAUUUUUGGUAAGCAGAACUGGCGAUGCGGGAUGAACCGAACGUGAGGUUAAGGUGCCGGAAUGUACGCUCAUCAGACACCACAAAAGGUGUCAAUGCAUCCAGACAGCCGGACGGUGGCCAUGGAAGUCGGAAUCCGCUUAGGAGUGUGUAACAACUCACCGGCCGAAUGCAUUGGCCCUGAAAAUGGGUGGCGCUUAAGCGUGCUACCUAUACCUCGCCGUCAGGGUUGAAAUGAUGCCCUGACGAGUAGGCAGGCGUGGGGGUUCGUGACGAAGCCUCGGGGGUGACCCCGGGUCGAACAACCUCUAGUGC
RNAcentral lists this ribosomal RNA (1397 nucleotides) under Staurothele pulvinata. RNAcentral describes it as "eukaryotic LSU rRNA". It matches the Rfam family "Eukaryotic large subunit ribosomal RNA", at positions 40 to 1445 of the family's 3401-position model. The record is from RNAcentral. Lineage: Eukaryota; Fungi; Ascomycota; Eurotiomycetes; Verrucariales; Verrucariaceae.